GAAAUGCGAUACGUAAUGUGAAUUGCAGAACUCAGUGAAUCAUCAAAUUUUUGAACGCAAAUUGCGCUAGUAGUAAUACUAGCACACUUGUUUGAGUGUUGUUUAAUAAAAAUACAUAUUAACUUAUGGAAAUUAGUAAUCAUUCUUUCUGAUUAUUUAAAUAUUAAUAUAAUAUAAUUUUAAUUAUUAAAAAUCUAUUUAUUUUAAUAUCCUAUUAUCAACCUCAAAUCAAGUGAGACUACCUGCUGAAUUUAA
This 255-nucleotide unclassified non-coding RNA is filed under the name uncultured fungus. RNAcentral's name for it is "sequence contains ITS1". The stretch from base 1 to 101 matches the Rfam family "5.8S ribosomal RNA", at positions 50 to 154 of the family's 154-position model. The record is from RNAcentral. Lineage: Eukaryota; Fungi.